GGCCGUGUAGCUCAGCUGGUAGAGUAUGCGCGUACAAAGCGCAAGCGGCGUUCAUGCAUUGGAUCGAAUCCCACCGAGGCUA
Molecule: transfer RNA, 82 nt
Filed under: Echinostoma caproni
Lineage: Eukaryota; Metazoa; Platyhelminthes; Trematoda; Plagiorchiida; Echinostomatidae
Rfam family: tRNA
About the family: Transfer RNA (tRNA) molecules are approximately 80 nucleotides in length.
Source: Rfam by way of RNAcentral